Molecule: ribosomal RNA, 2277 nt
Filed under: Triticum aestivum (bread wheat)
Lineage: Eukaryota; Viridiplantae; Streptophyta; Magnoliopsida; Poales; Poaceae
Description: partial small subunit ribosomal RNA
Source: RNAcentral
AUGAAUAUCCGGACUACUAGACUACACUACAUCCCCACUCGUCUUGCUCCAGAGUUCACGGCCUACUCACCAAGGCCCAUGCCUGGCUUCUCCUAUGCCGCGUCAAUGUCGCCACUCCGCCUCCGCCUGCACGCCCGCCACUCCGCCUCCGCCUCGCAACCCUCACGCAGCCAGGGAUGGGAUCCCCACGCCGCCUUGGCCGUCGCCACGGUUGCCCUCUUCAGCCGCAUAUCCCAAGGCGCCCUCCGACGUGUGGCACAUCCAACGGCUUGCACCUACAGCAUCCUCAUGGACUGCUGCUGCCGCGCACACCGCCCUGAUAUGGCACUCGCCUUCUUCGGUCGUCUCCUCAGGACGGGUCUGGAGGCAGACCAAGUCGUUUUCAGCACCCUCCUCAAGGGACUCUGCCACGCAAAGCGCUCAGAUGAGGCUCUGGACGUGCUGCUGCACAGGAUGCCUGAGCUCGGCUGCACCACCCACGUGGUGGCGUAUAACACCGUCAUCCAUGGCUUCUUUAGGGAAGGCCAAGUAGGCAAGGCGUGCGAUAUCUUCCAUGGAAUGGCGCAGCAGGGCGUUGCGCCUAAUGUGGUGACAUAUAACUCGGUUAUUGAUGCGCUGUGCAAGGCCAGAGCAAUGGACAAGGCAGAGUAUUUCCUUGGUCAGAUGGUUGAUAGUGGUGUCGUACCUAAUAAUGUCACAUAUAAUAGCCUCAUCCAUGGAUAUUCCUCUUCAGGCCAUUCAAAGGAGGCGGUCAGGGUGCUGAAACAGAUGACAAGUAAGGGUAUCAUACCAGAUGUUUUUACUUGCAACUUGCUCAUGGCCUCCCUUUGCAACAACAGAAGAAGCAAAGAAGCUGCAGAACUUUUUGACUCCAUGGCCAUGAAGGGCCUGAAACCUAACACCGUUUCAUAUGCUAUUCUCCUUCAUGGGUAUGCCACUGAAGGAUGCCUAGUUGACAUGAUCAAUCUCUUCAACUCAAUGGCAACAGACUGUAUUCUACCUAACUGUCGUAUCUUCAACAUACUGAUUAAUGCAUAUGCUAAAUCUGGGAAGCUUGAUAAGGCUAUGCUUAUAUUUAAAGAAAUGCACAAGCGAGGAGUGAGUCCAGAUGUAGUCACCUAUUCAACUGUAAUACAUGCAUUUUGCAAAAUGGGUAGCUUGGACAUUGCUAUGGACAAAUUUAACCAGAUGGUUGAUAUGGGAGUACGACCGAAUGCAACUGUUUAUCAUUCCCUAAUCCAGGGUUUUUGUACACAUGGGGAUUUAGUGAAAGCAAAGGAAUUGGUUACUGAAAUGAGGAACAAAGCUAUGCGUCCUCCUGAUAUUAAGUUCUUCCAUUCAAUAAUGCAGAACCUAUGCACGGAAGGAAGGGUAAUUGAAGCACGGGAUAUCCUCGACUUGAUGCUGCACAUAGGUAUGAGGCCUGAUGUUCCCAUCUUUAAUUUACUAAUCGGUGGAUACUGCCUAGUCCGCGAGAUGGAGGAUGCAACAAAAAUGUUUGAUGAUAUGGUGUCAUAUGGUUUAGAACCUUGUAACAAUACGUAUGGUAUACUUAUUAAUGGCUAUUGCAAAAAUAGAAGGAUUGAUGACGGGCUUAUUCUAUUCAAAGAGAUGCUGCGCAAGGGACUUAAACCUACAACUUUUAAUUAUAACGUCAUACUGGAUGGAUUAUUUCUGGCUGGACGAACUGUUGCUGCAAAGGUGAAGUUUAAUGAGAUGGUUGAAUCUGGAGUAAGUGUGUGCAUUGAUACAUACUCUAUAGUUCUUGGUGGACUUUGUAGAAAUAAUUGCACCGGUGAAGCAAUCACGCUGUCCAAGAAAUUAAGUACAAUGAAUGUCAAAUUCAAUAUUGCAAUUGUCAAUAUCUUGAUUGGUGCAUUCUUCAGGGUUCGGCGAAACCAAGAAGCUAAGGAUUUGUUUGCUGCUAUACCAGCCAAUGGCUUGGUUCCUAAUGCUGUUACCUACACCAUAAUGAUGACAAAUCUUAUAAAAGAAGGUCCAGUGGAAGAAGCUGACAAUCUUUUUUUAUCGAUGGAGAAGAGCGGCUGUAGUGCCAACUCUUAUAUGUUAAAUCAUAUCAUCAGAAGGUUACUGGAAAAAGGAGAGAUGGUCAAGGCUGGAAAUUAUAUGUCUAAAGUUGAUGCAAAGAGCUACUCCCUUGAAGCUAAAACUGUUUCACUGCUGAUCUCUCUGUUUUCAAGGAAAGGGAAAUAUAGAGAACACAUCAAAUUGCUCCCUACAAAGUAUCAGUUUCUGGAAGAAGCAGCCACAGUUGAA